Molecule: ribosomal RNA, 484 nt
Filed under: Klebsiella pneumoniae
Lineage: Bacteria; Pseudomonadati; Pseudomonadota; Gammaproteobacteria; Enterobacterales; Enterobacteriaceae
Description: bacterial LSU rRNA
Rfam family: Bacterial large subunit ribosomal RNA
Source: RNAcentral
GUGAACUCGAAGAGUAGGGCGGGACACGUGGUAUCCUGUCUGAAUAUGGGGGGACCAUCCUCCAAGGCUAAAUACUCCUGACUGACCGAUAGUGAACCAGUACCGUGAGGGAAAGGCGAAAAGAACCCCGGCGAGGGGAGUGAAAAAGAACCUGAAACCGUGUACGUACAAGCAGUGGGAGCACCUUCGGGUGUGACUGCGUACCUUUUGUAUAAUGGGUCAGCGACUUAUAUUCUGUAGCAAGGUUAACCGUAUAGGGGAGCCGCAGGGAAACCGAGUCUUAACUGGGCGUUAAGUUGCAGGGUAUAGACCCGAAACCCGGUGAUCUAGCCAUGGGCAGGUUGAAGGUUGGGUAACACUAACUGGAGGACCGAACCGACUAAUGUUGAAAAAUUAGCGGAUGACUUGUGGCUGGGGGUGAAAGGCCAAUCAAACCGGGAGAUAGCUGGUUCUCCCCGAAAGCUAUUUAGGUAGCGCCUCGUGA